CCUACGGGUGGCAGCAGUGGGGAAUAUUGGACAAUGGGCGAAAGCCUGAUCCAGCCAUGCCGCGUGUGUGAAGAAGGCCUUCGGGUUGUAAAGCACUUUCAGUGGGGAAGAAAGCCUUGGGGCUAAUACCCUCGAGGAAGGACAUCACCCACAGAAGAAGCACCGGCUAACUCCGUGCCAGCAGCCGCGGUAAUACGGAGGGUGCGAGCGUUAAUCGGAAUUACUGGGCGUAAAGCGCGCGUAGGCGGUCUGAUAAGCCGGUUGUGAAAGCCCCGGGCUCAACCUGGGAACGGCAUCCGGAACUGUCAGGCUAGAGUGCAGGAGAGGAAGGUAGAAUUCCCGGUGUAGCGGUGAAAUGCGUAGAGAUCGGGAGGAAUACCAGUGGCGAAGGCGGCCUUCUGGACUGACACUGACGCUGAGGUGCGAAAGCGUGGGUAGCAAACAGGAUUAGAACCCGAGUAGC
RNAcentral lists this ribosomal RNA (463 nucleotides) under Vreelandella stevensii. Its description in RNAcentral is "partial 16S ribosomal RNA". It matches the Rfam family "Bacterial small subunit ribosomal RNA", at positions 338 to 794 of the family's 1533-position model. The record is from RNAcentral. Lineage: Bacteria; Pseudomonadati; Pseudomonadota; Gammaproteobacteria; Oceanospirillales; Halomonadaceae.